Molecule: ribosomal RNA, 702 nt
Filed under: uncultured apostome ciliate
Lineage: Eukaryota; Ciliophora; Oligohymenophorea; Apostomatida
Description: SSU rRNA
Rfam family: Eukaryotic small subunit ribosomal RNA
Source: RNAcentral
UGAUCCAGGGAGGUAGUGACAAGAAAUAACAACCUAGUCGUAAGACAGUGGAUUGUAAUGAGUGCAAUUUAAAACACUGCACGAGGAACAAUUGGAGGGCAAGUCUGGUGCCAGCAGCCGCGGUAAUUCCAGCUCCAAUAGCGUAUAUUAAAGUUGUUGCAGUUAAAAAGCUCGUAGUUGAAUUUCUAAUUAGUUAUUUUGGGGUUUAACCUAAAAUAGCUAGUUAUCCGACACUGAACCAUGACGGUUAUUAAGUUAAACCCCAUGGAGAAUUGUCAUUUUACUUUGAAAAAAUUAGAGUGUUUCAGGCAGGCAUUUGCCCGAAUAUCUUAGCAUGGAAUAAUGGAAUAGGACUUUGGUUCAUUUUAUUGGUUAUUGAAUCAGAGUAAUGAUUAAUAGGGACAGUUGGGGGCAUUAGUAUUUAAUUGUCAGAGGUGAAAUUCUUGGAUUUAUUAAAGACUAACUUAUGCGAAAGCAUUUGCCAAGGAUGUUUUCAUUAAUCAAGAACGAAAGUUAGGGGAUCAAAGACGAUCAGAUACCGUCCUAGUCUUAACUAUAAACUAUACCGACUCAGGAUUGGCCAUGUCUUAACUUGGUCAGCACUGUAUGAGAAAUUAAAGUCUUUGGGUUCUGGGGGGAGUAUGGUCGCAAGGCUGAAACUUAAAGGAAUUGACGGAAGGGCACCACCAGGAGUGGAGCCUG